This 787-nucleotide transfer RNA is filed under the name Bradyrhizobium sp. CCBAU 51528. RNAcentral's name for it is "partial contains 16S-23S ribosomal RNA intergenic spacer, and 23S ribosomal RNA". The stretch from base 186 to 259 matches the Rfam family "tRNA". The record is from RNAcentral. Lineage: Bacteria; Pseudomonadati; Pseudomonadota; Alphaproteobacteria; Hyphomicrobiales; Nitrobacteraceae.
CCGCUAUCUAUCGGAUCGUUUUAGAAACAUUCAGGGGCCAACAGUUUCAGGAUUGUUGAGCUCCAUUGGCGGGAUUUCGCCGUCUUCGUUUCUCUUUCUUCGCGGACGAACACGCGCCAGGGGCUGAGCGCUGUGCGAUGCACCGGCUUGAUGUCGAGUGCGCGCCGGCAUGUCUCUCGUGUUAGGGGCUUGUAGCUCAGUUGGUUAGAGCGCGCGCUUGAUAAGCGUGAGGUCGGAAGUUCAAGUCUUCCCAGGCCCACCAGCCUUCGCGCUUCGCUGCUUCGGCUAGGCAGGCCCUUCAAGAUGAAGGCUGCUGCGCCGCAGCCUUGGCGAAGGCGAGCGGGUAUCAACAAUGCGCUUCGUCUUCUGGUACGGGGCCAUAGCUCAGCUGGGAGAGCGCGUGCUUUGCAAGCAUGAGGUCGUCGGUUCGAUCCCGUCUGGCUCCACCAGAUGGAAUUGAAGCUCGAUAGCGCCUCGUUCAUUUCGUCCGCGAAACAUCACUUCGCACUCAUUGGUCCGGAUGGACGGUGACGUGCGUGUUUUCUGACAUCGUAAAGAGGAGAUCGAUCCGAGUUUGGAUCAAGCGAAGCAAUUCGCCUGAGCCAUUCAUUAUCUCCGGGAUCAUUUCGGCGCUCGCUUUCAAUCGCAAGAUUGGAUGCGGGUUGUAAAUGAUCCCUUUUAGCGAAGCUUGACCGCCUCGCUAUCGGGCCGAUCUUACGAAGCAAGCUGGUCUUUCUAGUCAAUGUCCGGCUGCGCAAUCGCAUUCAUCGAGGAUGCGUGCCUGAGA